UAUGGCUUUUUAUUCCUAUGUGAUUAUAUCACUAAUUUCAUAUAGGGAUUGAAGCCAUGUA
RNAcentral lists this microRNA precursor (61 nucleotides) under Anolis carolinensis (green anole). RNAcentral's name for it is "Aca-Mir-135-P1_pre stem-loop". It matches the Rfam family "mir-135 microRNA precursor family", at positions 15 to 74 of the family's 88-position model. From Rfam's summary of the family: The hairpin precursors (represented here) are predicted based on base pairing and cross-species conservation -- their extents are not known. In this case the mature sequence is excised from the 5' arm of the hairpin. The record is from RNAcentral. Lineage: Eukaryota; Metazoa; Chordata; Lepidosauria; Squamata; Anolidae.